AACGCUGGAUCCCAGUUCAGACUUUUUGGUGGAGGCUACGAUCCAGUUUCUAGCUGGCUGAAUGGUGAUGGAACGACAUGAACUCUGGACCUGAGGAAUACGUGCGGAAGGAAGGAUGAUGGGUUUGUGUGCUUGUAAACCAACCCGUCGGAUGCAUGCACCAGGCAUUUGGAAAUAGAAUGCAACAGAAGAGCCAAGCCCUGGAGUUAAGGUAUGCUACCGAAAAAGAAUGUCCAAAGCCACUUGAUUUGAAAUGUGGAAUAGUUCACUUUGGCUUCUGAAAAAGUGAAAUCAAACUCCUUCCUUAAAAAGCACCCUAUGUGUUACCUGAAACUUCCAAAGACACAUGGAUGCAGAUUCUGCUGUUCGUUGCUGUCGG
Molecule: long non-coding RNA, 379 nt
Filed under: Sus scrofa (pig)
Lineage: Eukaryota; Metazoa; Chordata; Mammalia; Artiodactyla; Suidae
Description: lncRNA (ENSSSCG00070011903.1)
Source: RNAcentral